Molecule: ribosomal RNA, 435 nt
Filed under: uncultured bacterium
Lineage: Bacteria
Description: partial 16S ribosomal RNA
Rfam family: Bacterial small subunit ribosomal RNA
Source: RNAcentral
AGCGAACGCUGGCGGCAGGCUUAACACAUGCAAGUCGAGCGGGCACUUUCGGGUGUCAGCGGCGGACGGGUGAGGAACGCGUGGGAACGUGCCCUCUGGUUCGGAAUAACUCAGGGAAACUUGAGCUAAUACCGGAUACGCCCUUUUGGGGAAAGGCUUGCUGCCGGAGGAUCGGCCCGCGUCUGAUUAGCUAGUUGGUGAGGUAACGGCUCACCAAGGCGACGAUCAGUAGCUGGUCUGAGAGGAUGAGCAGCCACACUGGGACUGAGACACGGCCCAGACUCCUACGGGAGGCAGCAGUGGGGAAUAUUGGACAAUGGGCGCAAGCCUGAUCCAGCCAUGCCGCGUGAGUGAUGAAGGCCUUAGGGUUGUAAAGCUCUUUUAUCCGGGACGAUAAUGACGGUACCGGAGGAAUAAGCCCCGGCUAACUUCGUG